RNAcentral lists this ribosomal RNA (207 nucleotides) under uncultured bacterium. RNAcentral's name for it is "partial 16S ribosomal RNA". It matches the Rfam family "Bacterial small subunit ribosomal RNA", at positions 568 to 774 of the family's 1533-position model. The record is from RNAcentral.
UGCGUAGGUGGUUUUAUAAGUUAUCUGUGAAAAUCCUGGGCUUAACCUGGGGCUGUCAGAUAAGACUGUGAGACUCGAGUAUGGGAGAGGGUAGUGGAAUUUCCGGUGUAGCGGUGAAAUGCGUAGAGAUCGGAAGGAACACCAGUGGCGAAGGCGGCUACCUGGCCUAAUACUGACACUGAGGCACGAAAGCGUGGGGAGCAAACA